RNAcentral lists this transfer RNA (68 nucleotides) under Marmota monax (woodchuck). RNAcentral describes it as "tRNA.Gly". The record is from RNAcentral. Lineage: Eukaryota; Metazoa; Chordata; Mammalia; Rodentia; Sciuridae.
GGUUGGUGGCUCAGUGGUAGAGUGCUUGCCUACCAUGUGUGAGGCACUGGGUUCCAUUCUCAGCACUG